CCCCGUCUUGACACAAUUGUUAUCCUCGGUUUAAAACAUGGUGAGGUAAGAUCAUCUCAAGGACAGUCCAUCUACAAAAACUCAUCAAAGUCACUGAACAUCACUGGUUUGAAUUGGAAUAUGAACGAGCGACAUGAAUUAUUCUGGACGACAAGCAAAUCACGUGCAGUCGGAAGUCAAAAGAAUGUUAUAACUCGUUUAAUCUUUUUAGUUGUGUAUUUUUUUGUGAACUUAUGAUGAAAAAACUUGACAAGUGUAGUGGAAUGCAAACCAUUUAAAUACAAAUAUAUUAUAUUAACUUUAAA
This is a long non-coding RNA of Xenia sp. Carnegie-2017, 305 nucleotides long. RefSeq lists it as uncharacterized. The transcript has 2 exons. The record is from RefSeq and is a predicted model, not a curated record. NCBI's taxonomy places the organism in Eukaryota, Metazoa, Cnidaria, Anthozoa, Malacalcyonacea, Xeniidae.